GACGAACGCUGGCGGCGUGCUUAACACAUGCAAGUCGAACGGAAAGGCCCUGCUUGCAGGGUACUCGAGUGGCGAACGGGUGAGUAACACGUGGGUGAUCCGCCCCGCACGUCGUGAUAAGCUUGGGGAACUGGGACUAAUACCGGAUAGGAGCCAUCUUUAGUGGGGUGGUUGGAAAGUUUUUUCGGUGUAGGAUGAGCUCGCGGCCUAUCAGCUUGUUGGUGGGGUAAUGGCCUACCAAGGCGGCGACGGGUAGCCGGCCUGAGAGGGUGUACGGACACACUGGAACUGAGAUACGGCCCAGACUCCGACGGGAGGCAGCAGGGGCGAAUAUUGCACAAUGGGAGCAAGCCUGAUGCAGCGAGGCCGCGUGGGGGAUGAAGGCCUUCGGGUUGUAAACUCCUUUCGCUAGGGACGAAGCUUUUUUGUGACGGUACCUAGAUAAGAAGCACCGGCUAACUACGUG
RNAcentral lists this ribosomal RNA (466 nucleotides) under uncultured bacterium. RNAcentral's name for it is "partial 16S ribosomal RNA". It matches the Rfam family "Bacterial small subunit ribosomal RNA", at positions 28 to 507 of the family's 1533-position model. The record is from RNAcentral.